This 122-nucleotide ribosomal RNA is filed under the name Streptomyces sp. 5-10. Its description in RNAcentral is "partial 16S ribosomal RNA". It matches the Rfam family "Bacterial small subunit ribosomal RNA", at positions 1 to 123 of the family's 1533-position model. The record is from RNAcentral. Lineage: Bacteria; Bacillati; Actinomycetota; Actinomycetes; Kitasatosporales; Streptomycetaceae.
UUCACGGAGAGUUUGAUCCUGGCUCAGGACGAACGCUGGCGGCGUGCUUAACACAUGCAAGUCGAACGAUGAACCGGUUUCGGCCGGGGAUUAGUGGCGAACGGGUGAGUAACACGUGGGCA